UACGGGGGGGCGAGCGUUGUUCGGAAUCACUGGGCGUAAAGGGUGCGUAGGCGGGUCUUUAAGUCAGGGGUGAAAUCCUGGAGCUCAACUCCAGAACUGCCUUUGAUACUGAAGAUCUUGAGUUCGGGAGAGGUGAGUGGAACUGCGAGUGUAGAGGUGAAAUUCGUAGAUAUUCGCAAGAACACCAGUGGCGAAGGCGGCUCACUGGCCCGAUACUGACGCUGAGGCACGAAAGCGUGGGGAGCAAACAGG
RNAcentral lists this ribosomal RNA (252 nucleotides) under uncultured bacterium. RNAcentral's name for it is "partial 16S ribosomal RNA". It matches the Rfam family "Bacterial small subunit ribosomal RNA", at positions 524 to 776 of the family's 1533-position model. The record is from RNAcentral.